GGAGAAUUACCCAAGAGGCUGAAGGGGACGGUUUGCUAAACCGUUAGGGUGUAAAUAUGCGCCGCGAGGGUUCGAAUCCCUCAUUCUCCGCCA
This 93-nucleotide transfer RNA is filed under the name Bacillota bacterium. Its description in RNAcentral is "Firmicutes bacterium (gut metagenome) tRNA-Ser". It matches the Rfam family "tRNA". From Rfam's summary of the family: Transfer RNA (tRNA) molecules are approximately 80 nucleotides in length. The record is from RNAcentral. Lineage: Bacteria; Bacillati; Bacillota.